ACCCGUCUUGAAACACGGACCAAGGAGUCUAACAUGUGCGCGAGUCAUUGGGUUACUGUUAAAAGCGAACAAGCCUAAAGGCGCAAUGAAAGUGAAGGUCGGCCUUAGCGUCGAUCGAGGGAGGAUGGCCCGGGUUCGCUCGGGUCCGCACUCCCGGGGCGUCUCACGGUCGUUUCGACCAGAGGCGCACCCAGAGCGUACACGUUGGGACCCGAAAGAUGGUGAACUAUGCCUGGUCAGGACGAAGUCAGGGGAAACCCUGAUGGAGGUCCGUAGCGAUUCUGACGUGCAAAUCGAUCGUCGGAACUGGGUAUAGGGGCGAAAGACUAAUCGAACCAUCUAGUAGCUGGUUCCCUCCGAAGUUUCCCUCAGGAUAGCUGGCACUCGCUCGAUAGCGAGUCUCAUCUGGUAAAGCGAAUGAUUAGAGGCCUUGGGGCCGAAACGACCUCAACCUAUUCUCAAACUUUAAAUGGGUGAGAUCUCUGGCUUGCUUAAACGUUGAAGCCAAGAGAUCGCGCCACGACCUGUGUAAGCAGGGCGGGGCGCCUCACGGAUCAGAGUGCCAAGUGGGCCAAUUUUGGUAAGCAGAACUGGCGCUGUGGGA
RNAcentral lists this ribosomal RNA (604 nucleotides) under Nigeriella fusciceps. RNAcentral describes it as "eukaryotic LSU rRNA". It matches the Rfam family "Eukaryotic large subunit ribosomal RNA", at positions 647 to 1163 of the family's 3401-position model. The record is from RNAcentral. Lineage: Eukaryota; Metazoa; Arthropoda; Insecta; Hymenoptera; Agaonidae.